GAAAAAGAGGAGUGGCGAACGGGUGAGUAACACGUGGGUAACCUGCCCAUCAGAAGGGGAUAACACUUGGAAACAGGUGCUAAUACCGUAUAACAAUCAAAACCGCAUGGUUUUGAUUUGAAAGGCGCUUUCGGGUGUCGCUGAUGGAUGGACCCGCGGUGCAUUAGCUAGUUGGUGAGGUAACGGCUCACCAAGGCCACGAUGCAUAGCCGACCUGAGAGGGUGAUCGGCCACAUUGGGACUGAGACACGGCCCAAACUCCUACGGGAGGCAGCAGUAGGGAAUCUUCGGCAAUGGACGAAAGUCUGACCGAGCAACGCCGCGUGAGUGAAGAAGGUUUUCGGAUCGUAAAACUCUGUUGUUAGAGAAGAACAAGGAUGAGAGUAACUGUUCAUCCCUUGACGGUAUCUAACCAGAAAGCCACGGCUAACUACGUGCCAGCAGCCGCGGUAAUACGUAGGUGGCAAGCGUUGUCCGGAUUUAUUGGGCGUAAAGCGAGCGCAGGCGGUUUCUUAAGUCUGAUGUGAAAGCCCCCGGCUCAACCGGGGAGGGUCAUUGGAAACUGGGAGACUUGAGUGCAGAAGAGGAGAGUGGAAUUCCAUGUGUAGCGGUGAAAUGCGUAGAUAUAUGGAGGAACACCAGUGGCGAAGGCGGCUCUCUGGUCUGUAACUGACGC
Molecule: ribosomal RNA, 676 nt
Filed under: uncultured Bacilli bacterium
Lineage: Bacteria; Bacillati; Bacillota; Bacilli
Description: bacterial SSU rRNA
Rfam family: Bacterial small subunit ribosomal RNA
Source: RNAcentral